RNAcentral lists this ribosomal RNA (2485 nucleotides) under Campylobacter coli. Its description in RNAcentral is "partial 23S ribosomal RNA". It matches the Rfam family "Bacterial large subunit ribosomal RNA", at positions 598 to 2925 of the family's 2925-position model. Lineage: Bacteria; Pseudomonadati; Campylobacterota; Epsilonproteobacteria; Campylobacterales; Campylobacteraceae. The record is from RNAcentral.
GGACUGCCUUUUGCAUAAUGAGCCUGCGAGUUGUGGUGUCUGGCAAGGUUAAGCAAACGCGAAGCCGUAGCGAAAGCGAGUCUGAAUAGGGCGCUUAGUCAGAUGCUGCAGACCCGAAACGAAGUGAUCUAUCCAUGAGCAAGUUGAAGCUAGUGUAAGAACUAGUGGAGGACUGAACCCAUAGGCGUUGAAAAGCCCCGGGAUGACUUGUGGAUAGGGGUGAAAGGCCAAUCAAACUUCGUGAUAGCUGGUUCUCUCCGAAAUAUAUUUAGGUAUAGCGUUGUGUCGUAAUAUAAGGGGGUAGAGCACUGAAUGGGCUAGGGCAUACACCAAUGUACCAAACCCUAUCAAACUCCGAAUACCUUAUAUGUAAUCACAGCAGUCAGGCGGCGAGUGAUAAAAUCCGUCGUCAAGAGGGAAACAACCCAGACUACCAGCUAAGGUCCCUAAAUCUUACUUAAGUGGAAAACGAUGUGAAGUUACUUAAACAACCAGGAGGUUGGCUUAGAAGCAGCCAUCCUUUAAAGAAAGCGUAAUAGCUCACUGGUCUAGUGAUUUUGCGCGGAAAAUAUAACGGGGCUAAAGUAAGUACCGAAGCUGUAGACUUGCGCACAACUUAGAUUAUUUAAGUUUAGAAUAUGAGAAACUAAGUUAUAUGUUUAGUUAUAUUUUUACUGAUUUUUAUAGAGUAAAGAUAGAAAUAAAACUUAGUAAAAUCAGUAAAAAUAUUCUUAGACUAAAGUUAAGUAGUUUAAGUUGUGUGCAAGUGGUAGGAGAGCGUUCUAUUUGCGUCGAAGGUAUACCGGUAAGGAGUGCUGGAGCGAAUAGAAGUGAGCAUGCAGGCAUGAGUAGCGAUAAUUAAUGUGAGAAUCAUUAACGCCGUAAACCCAAGGUUUCCUACGCGAUGCUCGUCAUCGUAGGGUUAGUCGGGUCCUAAGUCGAGUCCGAAAGGGGUAGACGAUGGCAAAUUGGUUAAUAUUCCAAUACCAACAUUAGUGUGCGAUGGAAGGACGCUUAGGGCUAAGGGGGCUAGCGGAUGGAAGUGCUAGUCUAAGGUCGUAGGAGGUUAUACAGGCAAAUCCGUAUAACAAUACUCCGAGAACUGAAAGGCUUUUUGAAGUCUUCGGAUGGAUAGAAGAACCCCUGAUGCCGUCGAGCCAAGAAAAGUUUCUAAGUUUAGCUAAUGUUGCCCGUACCGUAAACCGACACAGGUGGGUGGGAUGAGUAUUCUAAGGCGCGUGGAAGAACUCUCUUUAAGGAACUCUGCAAAAUAGCACCGUAUCUUCGGUAUAAGGUGUGGUUCGCUUCGUAUUAGGAUUUACUCCGAAAGCGAAGAAACUUACAACAAAGAGUCCCUCCCGACUGUUUACCAAAAACACAGCACUCUGCUAACUCGUAAGAGGAUGUAUAGGGUGUGACGCCUGCCCGGUGCUCGAAGGUUAAUUGAUGGGGUUAGCAUUAGCGAAGCUCUUGAUCGAAGCCCGAGUAAACGGCGGCCGUAACUAUAACGGUCCUAAGGUAGCGAAAUUCCUUGUCGGUUAAAUACCGACCUGCAUGAAUGGCGUAACGAGAUGGGAGCUGUCUCAAAGAGGGAUCCAGUGAAAUUGUAGUGGAGGUGAAAAUUCCUCCUACCCGCGGCAAGACGGAAAGACCCCGUGGACCUUUACUACAGCUUGACACUGCUAUUUGGAUAAGAAUGUGCAGGAUAGGUGGGAGGCUUUGAGUAUAUGACGCCAGUUGUAUAUGAGCCAUUGUUGAGAUACCACUCUUUCUUAUUUGGGUAGCUAACCAGCUUGAGUUAUCCUCAAGUGGGACAAUGUCUGGUGGGUAGUUUGACUGGGGCGGUCGCCUCCCAAAUAAUAACGGAGGCUUACAAAGGUUGGCUCAGAACGGUUGGAAAUCGUUCGUAGAGUAUAAAGGUAUAAGCCAGCUUAACUGCAAGACAUACAAGUCAAGCAGAGACGAAAGUCGGUCUUAGUGAUCCGGUGGUUCUGUGUGGAAGGGCCAUCGCUCAAAGGAUAAAAGGUACCCCGGGGAUAACAGGCUGAUCUCCCCCAAGAGCUCACAUCGACGGGGAGGUUUGGCACCUCGAUGUCGGCUCAUCGCAUCCUGGGGCUGGAGCAGGUCCCAAGGGUAUGGCUGUUCGCCAUUUAAAGCGGUACGCGAGCUGGGUUCAGAACGUCGUGAGACAGUUCGGUCCCUAUCUGCCGUGGGCGUAAGAAGAUUGAAGAGAUUUGACCCUAGUACGAGAGGACCGGGUUGAACAAACCACUGGUGUAGCUGUUGUUCUGCCAAGAGCAUCGCAGCGUAGCUAAGUUUGGAAAGGAUAAACGCUGAAAGCAUCUAAGCGUGAAGCCAACUCUAAGAUGAAUCUUCUCUAAGCUCUCUAGAAGACUACUAGUUUGAUAGGCUGGGUGUGUAAUGGAUGAAAGUCCUUUAGCUGACCAGUACUAAUAGAGCGUUUGGCUUAUCUUUAAUAAAGCAU